GCUGAGUUAGGUUUAAACAAACACGCACUCACACCUCCGGGUGAAGGAAGGGCAGGCAACAAGCGGCAGCGAGCACCAGGCAGGACGCACACAGGCCAGAUGAGCCCACUUCCGGUUCCUAAGCCGUCUCUGGUUAACAUGGAAACAUCAAUUUGUUCUGGUCACAAACUAAUCAAGCUAGAAGCCGAGGCCGGGAGAGGGCUGGAAAAACCGAAGAUAAAACUGCAAUCACAGAUUCCAGUCGGCAGAGAAGCAGGGUUAAAUUCCAACUUUGAUUUUACGGCUUGACCUCAGGCUCAUUUAUGAAAUCACCGGGAUCUUAAUUCGCGGCUUUGCAAAGUGGAACUGGGAUAGGCUGUGCUGGCUCACUCUGGAAAAGCGACUGCUCAGCUGGCUCGGUGGGAGGGCACCUGGAUGGGGCCGCCGCGUGACUCCUACCUAACCAGGGGCAUCCCAUCAUUUGUUUCUAAGUUAAAUGUUGAUGCCUCAGAAGAGAUGGGGGAAGGGAAAAAAACCCAAAUAAAUUCUUGCCUGAUGUGGUGA
Long non-coding RNA from Apodemus sylvaticus (European woodmouse), 543 nucleotides. RefSeq lists it as uncharacterized. Lineage: Eukaryota; Metazoa; Chordata; Mammalia; Rodentia; Muridae. The record is from RefSeq and is a predicted model, not a curated record. The transcript is spliced from 3 exons.